This 347-nucleotide ribosomal RNA is filed under the name uncultured prokaryote. RNAcentral describes it as "partial 16S ribosomal RNA". The record is from RNAcentral.
UGGUCAGAUUGGUCGUCUUAUUACCAUUUCAACUACUCCGGUUAUCGCUGGCGACUCCUUCGAGAUGGACGCCGUUGGCGCUCUCCGUCUUUCUCCAUUGCGUCGUGGCCUUGCUAUUGACUCUACUGUAGACAUUUUUACUUUUUAUGUCCCUCAUCGUCACGUUUAUGGUGAACAGUGGAUUAAGUUCAUGAAGGAUGGUGUUAAUGCCACUCCUCUCCCGACUGUUAACACUACUGGUUAUAUUGACCAUGCCGCUUUUCUUGGCACGAUUAACCCUGAUACCAAUAAAAUCCCUAAGCAUUUGUUUCAGGGUUAUUUGAAUAUCUAUAACAACUAUUUUAAAG